GAUGAACGCUGGCGAGAUGCCUUACACAUGCAAGUCGUACGAGAAUUUUUAAUUCAAGUGGCGGACGGGUGAGUAACACGUAAGAAUUUGCCUUUAGGAGGGGGAUAAUAACUGGAAACGGUUACUAAUACCCCAUAUGCUUUCGAGUGAAAUGGAGUUUUCCGCCUAGAGAGAAGCUUGCGGCUGAUUAGCUUGUUGGUGGGGUAAUGGCCUACCAAGGCGACGAUCAGUAUCUGGUUUGAGAGGAUGAUCAGACACACUGGAACUGAGACACGGUCCAGACUCCUACGGGAGGCAGCAGUGGGGAAUUUUCCGCAAUGGGCGCAAGCCUGACGGAGCAAUCUCGCGUGAGGGAUGACGGCCUAUGGGUUGUAAACCUCUUUUUUCAGGGAGGAAUAAAAUGACGUGUACCUGAAGAAUAAGCAUCGGCUAACUCCGUACCAGCAGCCGCGGUAAGACGGAGGAUGCAAGUGUUAUCCGGAAUCACUGGGCGUAAAGCGUCUGUAGGUGGUUUAGUAAGCCAACUGUUAAACCUUGAAGCUCAACUUCA
This 550-nucleotide ribosomal RNA is filed under the name uncultured phototrophic eukaryote. Its description in RNAcentral is "bacterial SSU rRNA". It matches the Rfam family "Bacterial small subunit ribosomal RNA", at positions 28 to 617 of the family's 1533-position model. The record is from RNAcentral.